UGCAGUGAUGGUGUAAUUUGCGUCCUACUCUGUGUGUGACGACGGUUGCCUGCCGUCACAUGUCACCACAGAAGCCUGACGAACCUUGACUCUGAGCA
Alosa sapidissima (American shad) is the source of this 98-nucleotide small nucleolar RNA. RefSeq annotates it as small nucleolar RNA SNORD16. NCBI's taxonomy places the organism in Eukaryota, Metazoa, Chordata, Actinopteri, Clupeiformes, Clupeidae. The transcript has a single exon. The record is from RefSeq and is a predicted model, not a curated record.